This 206-nucleotide ribosomal RNA is filed under the name uncultured bacterium. RNAcentral describes it as "partial 16S ribosomal RNA". It matches the Rfam family "Bacterial small subunit ribosomal RNA", at positions 1295 to 1500 of the family's 1533-position model. The record is from RNAcentral.
AGACUGCAGGCUGCAACUCGCCUGCACGAAGUCGGAAUUACUAGUAAUCGUAGGUCAGCAUACUACGGUGAAUACGUUCCCGGGCCUUGUACACACCGCCCGUCAAACCAUGAGAGUUGGCAACACCCGAAGUCGGUAGUCUAACCGCAAGGAGGACGCCGCCGAAGGUGGGGUUGAUGAUUAGGGUUAAGUCGUAACAAGGUAUC